UACGGGGGGGGCAAGCGUUGUUCGGAAUUACUGGGCGUAAAGGGCUCGUAGGCGGCCAACUAAGUCAGACGUGAAAUCCCUCGGCUUAACCGGGGAACUGCAUCUGAUACUGGAUGGCUUGAGUUCGGGAGAGGGAUGCGGAAUUCCGGGUGUAGUGGUGAAAUGCGUAGAGAUCCGGAGGAACACCAGUGGCGAAGGCGGCGACCUGGACAGAUACUGACACUCAACUACGAAAGCGUGGGGAGCAAACAGG
Molecule: ribosomal RNA, 253 nt
Filed under: uncultured bacterium
Lineage: Bacteria
Description: partial 16S ribosomal RNA
Rfam family: Bacterial small subunit ribosomal RNA
Source: RNAcentral